Molecule: ribosomal RNA, 476 nt
Filed under: Candidatus Pelagibacter sp.
Lineage: Bacteria; Pseudomonadati; Pseudomonadota; Alphaproteobacteria; Candidatus Pelagibacterales; Candidatus Pelagibacteraceae
Description: bacterial SSU rRNA
Rfam family: Bacterial small subunit ribosomal RNA
Source: RNAcentral
ACUCUGAUGCAGCGAUGCCGCGUGAGUGAAGAAGGCCCUUGGGUUGUAAAGCUCUUUCUUCGGGGAAGAAAAUGACUGUACCCGAAUAAGAAGGUCCGGCUAACUUCGUGCCAGCAGCCGCGGUAAUACGAAGGGACCUAGCGUAGUUCGGAAUUACUGGGCUUAAAGAGUUCGUAGGUGGUUGAAAAAGUUAGUGGUGAAAUCCCAGAGCUUAACUCUGGAACUGCCAUUAAAACUUUUCAGCUAGAGUAUGAUAGAGGAAAGCAGAAUUUCUAGUGUAGAGGUGAAAUUCGUAGAUAUUAGAAAGAAUACCAAUUGCGAAGGCAGCUUUCUGGAUCAUUACUGACACUGAGGAACGAAAGCAUGGGUAGCGAAGAGGAUUAGAUACCCUCGUAGUCCAUGCCGUAAACGAUGUGUGUUAGACGUUGGAAAUUUAUUUUCAGUGUCGCAGCGAAAGCGAUAAACACACCGCCUGG